UUAAAAUGUAAAUUAAAAUUCCAAAGUAGUAUUAGUUAUGUUCUUGAAAUUUAAAAAAUUUGGCGGUAUUUUAGUCUAUUCAGAGGAACCUGUUCUAUAAUCGAUAGUCCACGAUUUACUUUACUUAAUUUUAUAAAUUUGUAUAUCGUCGUUUAUAAAUAAUUUUAUAAGAAUGAAAAUUUUUAAAAUUUUAAAUUAAUAAAAAUGUCAGAUCAAGGUGCAGUUUAUAGUUAAGAAGAAAUGGGUUACAAUAAAUUUAUUUAUAUGGAUUAAUGUAUUUAAUAUUAUUAUGAAGGUGGAUUUGAUAGUAAUAAAAUUAAAUUAAAUUUUAU
Molecule: ribosomal RNA, 332 nt
Filed under: Cybister marginicollis
Lineage: Eukaryota; Metazoa; Arthropoda; Insecta; Coleoptera; Dytiscidae
Description: partial 12S ribosomal RNA
Source: RNAcentral